RNAcentral lists this ribosomal RNA (497 nucleotides) under uncultured bacterium. RNAcentral's name for it is "partial 16S ribosomal RNA". It matches the Rfam family "Bacterial small subunit ribosomal RNA", at positions 28 to 507 of the family's 1533-position model. The record is from RNAcentral.
GAUGAACGCUGGCGGCGUGCCUAAUACAUGCAAGUCGAGCGAACAGACGAGGAGCUUGCUCCUCUGACGUUAGCGGCGGACGGGUGAGUAACACGUGGAUAACCUACCUAUAAGACUGGGAUAACUUCGGGAAACCGGAGCUAAUACCGGAUAAUAUAUUGAACCGCAUGGUUCAAUAGUGAAAGACGGUUUUGCUGUCACUUAUAGAUGGAUCCGCGCCGCAUUAGCUAGUUGGUAAGGUAACGGCUUACCAUGGCAACGAUGCGUAGCCGACCUGAGAGGGUGAUCGGCCACACUGGAACUGAGACACGGUCCAGACUCCUACGGGAGGCAGCAAUAGGGAAUCUUCCGCAAUGGGCGAAAGCCUGACGGAGCAACGCCGCGUGAGUGAUGAAGGUCUUCGGAUCGUAAAACUCUGUUAUUAGGGAAGAACAAAUGUGUAAGUAACUAUGCACGUCUUGACGGUACCUAAUCAGAAAGCCACGGCUAACUACGUG